AGUGAACGCUGGCGGUGGGCCUAACACAUGCAAGUCGAACGGCAGCACAGUAAGAGCUUGCUCUUACGGGUGGCGAGUGGCGGACGGGUGAGGAAUACAUCGGACUCUACUUUUUCGUGGGGGAUAACGUAGGGAAACUUACGCUAAUACCGCAUACGACCUACGGGUGAAAGCAGGGGAUCUUCGGACCUUGCGCGAUUGAAUGAGCCGAUGUCGGAUUAGCUAGUUGGCGGGGUAAAGGCCCACCAAGGCGACGAUCCGUAGCUGGUCUGAGAGGAUGAUCGGCGGCACUGGAACUGAGACACGGUCCAGACUCCUACGGGAGGCAGCAGUGUGGAAUAUUGGACAAUGGGCGCAAGCCUGAUCCAGCCAUACCGCGUGGGUGAAGAAGGCCUUCGGGUUGUAAAGCCCUUUUGUUGGGAAAGAAAAGCAGCAGGUUAAUACCCCGCUGUUCUGACGGUACCCAAAGAAUAAGCACCGGCUAACUUCGUG
This 492-nucleotide ribosomal RNA is filed under the name uncultured bacterium. RNAcentral describes it as "partial 16S ribosomal RNA". It matches the Rfam family "Bacterial small subunit ribosomal RNA", at positions 29 to 507 of the family's 1533-position model. The record is from RNAcentral.